CCUACGGGUGGCAGCAGUGGGGGCUAUUGCACAAUGGGGGGAACCCUGAUGCAGCGACGCCGCGUGGGUGAAGAAGCGCCUCGGCGCGUACAGCCCUGUCAGCAGGGAAGAAAAUGACGGUACCUGAAGAAGAAGCCCCGGCUAACUACGUGACAGCAGCCGCGGGAAUACGUAGGGGGCAAGCGUUAUCCGGAUUUACUGGGGGUAAAGGGGGCACAGACGGCGUUGCAAGACAGGAGUGAAAGCCCGGGGCCCAACCCCGGGACUGCUCUUGGCACUGCGUGGCUGGAGUGCAGGAGGGGCAGGCGGAAUUCCUGGUGUAGCGGUGAAAUGCGUAGAUAGCAGGAGGAACACCGGCGGCGAAGGCGGCCUGCUGGACCGCGACUGACGUUGAGGCUCGAAAGCGUGGGGAGCGAACAGGAUUAAAUACCCUAGUAGUC
This 440-nucleotide ribosomal RNA is filed under the name uncultured bacterium. Its description in RNAcentral is "partial 16S ribosomal RNA". It matches the Rfam family "Bacterial small subunit ribosomal RNA", at positions 338 to 795 of the family's 1533-position model. The record is from RNAcentral.